UUUGGAUUGCAGGGAGCC
RNAcentral lists this small RNA (18 nucleotides) under Arabidopsis thaliana (thale cress). Its description in RNAcentral is "ATSL080080". Lineage: Eukaryota; Viridiplantae; Streptophyta; Magnoliopsida; Brassicales; Brassicaceae. The record is from RNAcentral.